This 387-nucleotide ribosomal RNA is filed under the name uncultured bacterium. RNAcentral describes it as "bacterial SSU rRNA". It matches the Rfam family "Bacterial small subunit ribosomal RNA", at positions 28 to 417 of the family's 1533-position model. The record is from RNAcentral.
GACGAACGCUGGCGGCGUGCUUAACACAUGCAAGUCGAGCGGUAAGGCCCUUUCGGGGGUACACGAGCGGCGAACGGGUGAGUAACACGUGGGUGACCUGCCCUCAGCUCUGGGAUAAGCCCGGGAAACUGGGUCUAAUACUGGAUAUGACUCCAUGACGCAUGUUGUGGGGUGGAAAGCCUUGUGCGGCUGGGGAUGGGCCCGCGGCCUAUCAGCUUGUUGGUGGGGUGAUGGCCUACCAAGGCGACGACGGUAGCCGGCCUGAGAGGGCGACCGGCCACACUGGGACUGAGACACGGCCCAGACUCCUACGGGAGGCAGCAGUGGGGAAUCUUGCGCAAUGGGCGAAAGCCUGACGCAGCGACGCCGCGUGAGGGAUGACGGCCU